Molecule: transfer RNA, 76 nt
Filed under: Treponema maltophilum ATCC 51939
Lineage: Bacteria; Pseudomonadati; Spirochaetota; Spirochaetia; Treponematales; Treponemataceae
Also listed under: 2 other names
Description: tRNA-Pro
Rfam family: tRNA
About the family: Transfer RNA (tRNA) molecules are approximately 80 nucleotides in length. Their secondary structure includes four short double-helical elements and three loops (D, anti-codon, and T loops).
Source: RNAcentral
CGGAACGUAGCGCAGUUGGUAGCGCGUCUGCUUUGGGAGCAGAAUGUCGCAGGUUCAAAUCCUGUCGUUCCGACUA